Esox lucius (northern pike) is the source of this 1955-nucleotide long non-coding RNA. RefSeq lists it as uncharacterized. The record is from RefSeq and is a predicted model, not a curated record. The transcript has 3 exons. Lineage: Eukaryota; Metazoa; Chordata; Actinopteri; Esociformes; Esocidae.
CUCAUUCCUCAUUGGUUCUUCGCAUUAAAGGCUUACCGCGUGCUUCCCUUUUCCUCAGUGUCUCGCGCUACUAAAUUGAAGCUCAUCUGAAUUCUAUUCAUAUUUAAAGCGUGGAAAUUAGCAAGUGUUUCAAGCGCACGUUCAAUCGUUGAGAUUUACUCUUUAUGCCUGCUACGCGAUUCCAUUGCUACAAAGUAACUAUAAGGUGGUAAUAGACGUUGGGCAAAUACUCUGUCAAAUGUAGCUACGUUGUUUUUAGGCCUGAGGCAGCAUUCACAUUUUUCGGAAUGGAGUUUUAGCGUGGAGUGACCUAUCAGGAGGGAUGACGAAGCCCCUGUGAAGCAGUGUGGGAAGGGAAGACUGCGUGGACCUGUGUGAUGUGGGCCAGUCACAGGGCAGUCAGACUUCUGAGAUCACAUUACAAGGCUCUGCUGGGACCAGUCAAGAUCACAAACACCAUUUAUUUUAUGGCCCAGACCCCCGCAGAGGGACUGGGAGUUCCAGUCUUACCAAGCAGGAUAAUUGGACACCUUGAGUUCCUUAAUCUCUCCUGGAAUGAAAUGCAUGCUGGGUAAUUGCGUCAGGUGGACCCAAAUGUAAAUACCAACAUGAAAGAAAGCUAAGUUCAAAGUCAACAGCAGCCAUGAUAUCAACAGAAUCCAAGGACUGUAACUGUUCAAGUCCUGACAUGUCAGGGAGCAACACUGCUCAACCAGUUGGUUAAGCGAAGCCUUCUGCUGCCCCGUGCUGCUGCCGUUGGGUUUGUUUUCACCGCUGGUUGUGUGGUCACAACAUCACCUGAUCUCACCUUGGAACCCUGUUUCCGCCCUGUCUGUCUCUACCUAUCUUUCUCCACCCCGUUUUGUCUGUCUUCUGUACACCUAUCAUCACCCUGUCUGUCUCCACCCUGUCUGUCUUUGCCCGGUCUGUGGUUGCCCUCUUUGUCUCCACCCUGUCUUUCUCGGUCGCUACCUGUCUGUCUGACCGACCGCCGUGGAGUCUGGAUCUGUCCAACUGAACCUGUUGCUCGGAGAUUGCCGCCUACAUGUCAGGCAGUCUUUUUUUCCCCCUCUUCUCUCGGUCGCUCCAUGGUCUCCCCAUGGAAAUGUUAGUUCUGCUUCUCACUCUCUUUCUCCCAUCGGCGUCCUUUGACAUUCCUCAUCACGUUCUGGGAUUUGAUUGAAGUGGAUUAGUUUCUAACCCUGAUUGGGCAAUGAGUAGUAACCAGGGGAGGCGUGUCGCCCUCCUCGGUGAAGCCACAGAGAGCGGCUACAAGUAGUGUUCGGCUGACUGAUUGGCUAACGCCGCUGAGUGGCGCUCCGCUGCAGGGGGGAGGCGGGUCUGAAAGGACUCCAGAGGGACCUGAGUCUCCUGGCUCUCUCUGUGAUGCUGGGGCCCUUUGAUGGCCAGGACACCUGCACCACGCACAAAGACCAGCCGUCCUCCGCUUUGUGGUCGCAGGGGGAGAGAGGGAGAGCGGGAGAGGGAAAGUUCACUGGCCCUGACCUCAGUCAUGCAGAAACAAAGUAACACAAACGGGACACGGUCAGGAACAGCUGUGGAGUGCAGCACUGGAGGACACGGCAGACUGGGUGGUCUGGGGGAGGGAAAUGGGAGCGAAGGGACGGAAUUAGGCUACAGAGAAGCCUACCUGAUCGUUGUCGUAGAACUUUCCUAAUUUAUAAAGAAAGUAAUUGCGCAUUUUACAACCAUGUUGCUCAAAUUAAUGCAUUUGAUGGCAUGUGUUCAAUAUUGGAGACUCUUUAGUGAUAAUAUUUUUUUUGCACAUGAGGCCCGGUAAUCACCAAAAGGUAAGCUAUUUACUUCUGAUGGCAAUGGAAGCCCACUCAAAAAAGUGCCAAGAAAUGGGCUUUGGUCUCUCACAAAUUGAGCUGUUUUUCUUCUUUUAUUAAAUGCUUUAUGAUAUUCUACUGUGUUGUAGGACAGUGACUACU